CAACCUGCCUAUAAGACUGGGAUAACUUCGGGAAACCGGAGCUAAUACCGGAUACGUUCUUUUCUCGCAUGAGAGAAGAUGGAAAGACGGUUUACGCUGUCACUUAUAGAUGGGCCCGCGGCGCAUUAGCUAGUUGGUGAGGUAAUGGCUCACCAAGGCGACGAUGCGUAGCCGACCUGAGAGGGUGAUCGGCCACACUGGGACUGAGACACGGCCCAGACUCCUACGGGAGGCAGCAGUAGGGAAUCUUCCGCAAUGGACGAAAGUCUGACGGAGCAACGCCGCGUGAACGAAGAAGGCCUUCGGGUCGUAAAGUUCUGUUGUUAGGGAAGAACAAGUACCAGAGUAACUGCUGGUACCUUGACGGUACCUAACCAGAAAGCCACGGCUAACUACGUGCCAGCAGCCGCGGUAAUACGUAGGUGGCAAGCGUUGUCCGGAAUUAUUGGGCGUAAAGCGCGCGCAGGUGGUUCCUUAAGUCUGAUGUGAAAGCCCACGGCUCAACCGUGGAGGGUCAUUGGAAACUGGGGAACUUGAGUGCAGAAGAGGAAAGUGGAAUUCCAAGUGUAGCGGUGAAAUGCGUAGAGAUUUGGAGGAACACCAGUGGCGAAGGCGACUUUCUGGUCUGUAACUGACACUGAGGCGCGAAAGCGUGGGGA
RNAcentral lists this ribosomal RNA (659 nucleotides) under Brevibacterium sp. I11A-02679. RNAcentral describes it as "bacterial SSU rRNA". It matches the Rfam family "Bacterial small subunit ribosomal RNA", at positions 122 to 767 of the family's 1533-position model. Lineage: Bacteria; Bacillati; Actinomycetota; Actinomycetes; Micrococcales; Brevibacteriaceae. The record is from RNAcentral.